CGUUGAUUACGUCCCUGCCCUUUGUACACACCGCCCGUCGCUACUACCGAUUGAAUGGCUCAGUGAGGCUUUCGGACUGGCCCAGAGAGGUCGGCAACGACCACUCAGG
Molecule: ribosomal RNA, 109 nt
Filed under: Sordariomycetidae sp.
Lineage: Eukaryota; Fungi; Ascomycota; Sordariomycetes
Description: partial small subunit ribosomal RNA
Rfam family: Eukaryotic small subunit ribosomal RNA
Source: RNAcentral